Molecule: ribosomal RNA, 468 nt
Filed under: uncultured bacterium
Lineage: Bacteria
Description: partial 16S ribosomal RNA
Rfam family: Bacterial small subunit ribosomal RNA
Source: RNAcentral
GACGAACGCUGGCGGCGUGCUUAACACAUGCAAGUCGAACGGAAAGGCCCUGCUUUUGUGUGGUUCUCGAGUGGCGAACGGGUGAGUAACACGUGAGUAACCUGCCCUUGACUUUGGGAUAACUUCAGGAAACUGGGGCUAAUACCGGAUAGGAGCUCCUGCUGCAUGGUGGGGGUUGGAAAGUUUCGGCGGUUGGGGAUGGACUCGCGGCUUAUCAGCUUGUUGGUGGGGUAGUGGCUUACCAAGGCUUUGACGGGUAGCCGGCCUGAGAGGGUGACCGGCCACAUUGGGACUGAGAUACGGACCAGACUCCUACGGGAGGCAGCAGUGGGGAAUAUUGCACAAUGGGCGGAAGCCUGAUGCAGCAACGCCGCGUGCGGGAUGACGGCCUUCGGGUUGUAAACCGCUUUCGCCUGUGACGAAGCGUGAGUGACGGUAAUGGGUAAAGAAGCACCGGCUAACUACGUG